Molecule: small RNA, 549 nt
Filed under: Pongo abelii (Sumatran orangutan)
Lineage: Eukaryota; Metazoa; Chordata; Mammalia; Primates; Hominidae
Description: retained intron
Source: RNAcentral
UGACCUGCUACAGCGACUGGGUGGCGGCACGUAUGGGGAAGUCUUUAAGGCUCGAGACAAGGUGUCAGGGGACCUGGUGGCACUGAAGAUGGUGAAGAUGGAGCCUGAUGAUGAUGUCUCCACCCUUCAGAAGGAAAUCCUCAUAUUGAAAACUUGCCGGCACGCCAACAUCGUGGCCUACCAUGGGAGUUAUCUCUGGUUGCAGAAACUCUGGAUCUGCAUGGAAUUCUGUGGGGCUGGUUCUCUCCAGGACAUCUACCAAGUGACAGGCUCCCUGUCAGAGCUCCAGAUUAGCUAUGUCUGCCGGGAAGUGCUCCAGGGACUGGCCUAUCUGCACUCACAGAAGAAGAUACACAGGGACAUCAAGGUGGUCUGGGGGUGCAGGGGUGCUGUUGGGGGGUGGGGCCCAGGAGAUGGGAGUGGCAUUUCGGGGGCUCAGGGAUCAGGGUAGUUUGAGCUGUGGGGUGGAGUGGGGUAGCACUGGGCUGGGGAGAGUCUCUGCAGCCUCCCAUACCCCCUCUCAUUCCCAGGGAGCUAACAUCCUCAUCA